UGAAUACGAGAUGCUACGGCAUCGAAGCAGUCUAUGUCAUACUUCCAAGAAAAGCUUGCACUGUCAUAAACAAAUAAUGCCUGUACCAUAACCGACACAGGUGGGUAGGUAGAGUAUACUAAGGGGCGCGAGAUAACUCUCUCUAAGGAACUCGGCAAAAUGACUCCGUAACUUCGGGAGAAGGAGUGCCUUAUUUUAUAAGGUUGCAAUAACAAGAUCCAAGCAACUGUUUACCAAAAACACAGGUCUCCGCUAAGUCGUAAGACGAUGUAUGGGGGCUGACGCCUGCCCAGUGCCAGAAGGUUAAAGAAGUUGGUUAGCAUUAGCGAAGCUGAUAACUGAAGCCCUGGUGAACGGCGGCCGUAACAAUAACGGUCCUAAGGUAGCGAAAUUCCUUGUCGGGUAAGUUCCGACCCGCACGAAAGGCGUAAUGAUUUGGAUACUGUCUCGGAGAGGGGCUCGGUGAAAUAGACUUGUCUGUGAAGAUGCGGACUACCUGCACCAGGACAGAAAGACCCUAUGAAGCUUUACUGUAACUUGAGAUUGAAAUUGGACUUUAUUUGCGCAGUAUAGGUGGGAGACGUUGAAAAUAUUCUUGCGGGAAUAUUGGAGUCAUCAGUGAGAUACCACUCUUAUAAUGUUAGAUUUCUAACUUUGUAUCAUUAUCUGGUCAAAGAACAGUCUCAGGCGGGCAGUUUGACUGGGGCGGUCGCCUCCCAAACGGUAACGGAGGCGCACAAAGGUUUCCUCUGAACGUGUAGAAAUCGUAUCUAGAGUGUAAAGGCAUAAGGAAGCUUGACUGUGAGACCUACAAGUCGAGCAGGGACGAAAGUCGGUCUUAGUGAUCUGACGGUGCUGAGUGGAAAGGCCGUCACUCAACGGAUAAAAGUUACUCUAAGGAUAACAGGCUGAUCUCCCCCAAGAGUCCACAUCGACGGGGAGGUUUGGCACCUCGAUGUCGGCUCAUCGCAUCCUGGGGCGGUAGUACGUCCCAAGGGUUGGGCUGUUCGCCCAUGAAAGCGGUACGCGAGCCGGGUUCAGAACGUCGUGAGACAGUUCGGUCCAUAUCCGGUGUAGGCGUUAGAAUAUUGAGAGGAGCCUUCUUUAGUACGAGAGGACCGAGAAGGACAUACCUCUGGUGUACCAGUUAUCGUGCCAACGGUAAACGCUGGGUAGCUAUGUAUGGAGAGGAUAACCGCUGAAAGCAUCUAAGUGGGAAGCCCACCUCAAGAUAAGUAUUCU
This 1242-nucleotide ribosomal RNA is filed under the name metagenome. Its description in RNAcentral is "bacterial LSU rRNA". It matches the Rfam family "Bacterial large subunit ribosomal RNA", at positions 1564 to 2814 of the family's 2925-position model. The record is from RNAcentral.